This 147-nucleotide unclassified non-coding RNA is filed under the name uncultured Sporobolomyces. Its description in RNAcentral is "sequence contains ITS1". Lineage: Eukaryota; Fungi; Basidiomycota. The record is from RNAcentral.
UUGAAAACUAGGGUGUUCAAUUUAACUUGGAACCCAACCUUCUCAAUUCUAACUUUGUGCAUCUGUAUAAUGGCGAGCGGUCUUCGGACUGUGAGCCUUUACUCAUAAAACACUAGUCUAUGAAUGUAAAAUUUUUAUAACAAAUAA